This 1709-nucleotide ribosomal RNA is filed under the name Salmonella enterica subsp. enterica serovar Kentucky. Its description in RNAcentral is "partial 23S ribosomal RNA". It matches the Rfam family "Bacterial large subunit ribosomal RNA", at positions 1230 to 2915 of the family's 2925-position model. Lineage: Bacteria; Pseudomonadati; Pseudomonadota; Gammaproteobacteria; Enterobacterales; Enterobacteriaceae. The record is from RNAcentral.
AGGGGAGCGUUCUGUAAGCCUGUGAAGGUGGCCUGUGAGGGUUGCUGGAGGUAUCAGAAGUGCGAAUGCUGACAUAAGUAACGAUAAAGCGGGUGAAAAGCCCGCUCGCCGGAAGACCAAGGGUUCCUGUCCAACGUUAAUCGGGGCAGGGUGAGUCGACCCCUAAGGCGAGGCCGAAAGGCGUAGUCGAUGGGAAACGGGUUAAUAUUCCCGUACUUGGUGUUACUGCGAAGGGGGGACGGAGAAGGCUAUGUUGGCCGGGCGACGGUUGUCCCGGUUUAAGCGUGUAGGUGUGUGUUCCAGGUAAAUCCGGUUCACUUUAACACUGAGGCGUGACGACGAGGCACUACGGUGCUGAAGCAACAAAUGCCCUGCUUCCAGGAAAAGCCUCUAAGCAUCAGGUAACAUCAAAUCGUACCCCAAACCGACACAGGUGGUCAGGUAGAGAAUACCAAGGCGCUUGAGAGAACUCGGGUGAAGGAACUAGGCAAAAUGGUGCCGUAACUUCGGGAGAAGGCACGCUGACACGUAGGUGAAGUGAUUUACUCAUGGAGCUGAAGUCAGUCGAAGAUACCAGCUGGCUGCAACUGUUUAUUAAAAACACAGCACUGUGCAAACACGAAAGUGGACGUAUACGGUGUGACGCCUGCCCGGUGCCGGAAGGUUAAUUGAUGGGGUCAGCGCAAGCGAAGCUCCUGAUCGAAGCCCCGGUAAACGGCGGCCGUAACUAUAACGGUCCUAAGGUAGCGAAAUUCCUUGUCGGGUAAGUUCCGACCUGCACGAAUGGCGUAAUGAUGGCCAGGCUGUCUCCACCCGAGACUCAGUGAAAUUGAACUCGCUGUGAAGAUGCAGUGUACCCGCGGCAAGACGGAAAGACCCCGUGAACCUUUACUAUAGCUUGACACUGAACAUUGAGCCUUGAUGUGUAGGAUAGGUGGGAGGCUUUGAAGUGUGGACGCCAGUCUGCAUGGAGCCGACCUUGAAAUACCACCCUUUAAUGUUUGAUGUUCUAACGUGGACCCGUAAUCCGGGUUGCGGACAGUGUCUGGUGGGUAGUUUGACUGGGGCGGUCUCCUCCUAAAGAGUAACGGAGGAGCACGAAGGUUGGCUAAUCCUGGUCGGACAUCAGGAGGUUAGUGCAAUGGCAUAAGCCAGCUUGACUGCGAGCGUGACGGCGCGAGCAGGUGCGAAAGCAGGUCAUAGUGAUCCGGUGGUUCUGAAUGGAAGGGCCAUCGCUCAACGGAUAAAAGGUACUCCGGGGAUAACAGGCUGAUACCGCCCAAGAGUUCAUAUCGACGGCGGUGUUUGGCACCUCGAUGUCGGCUCAUCACAUCCUGGGGCUGAAGUAGGUCCCAAGGGUAUGGCUGUUCGCCAUUUAAAGUGGUACGCGAGCUGGGUUUAGAACGUCGUGAGACAGUUCGGUCCCUAUCUGCCGUGGGCGCUGGAGAACUGAGGGGGGCUGCUCCUAGUACGAGAGGACCGGAGUGGACGCAUCACUGGUGUUCGGGUUGUCAUGCCAAUGGCACUGCCCGGUAGCUAAAUGCGGAAGAGAUAAGUGCUGAAAGCAUCUAAGCACGAAACUUGCCCCGAGAUGAGUUCUCCCUGAGACUUAGAGUCUCCUGAAGGAACGUUGAAGACGACGACGUUGAUAGGCCGGGUGUGUAAGCGCAGCGAUGCGUUGAGCUAACCGGUACUAAUGAACCGUGAGG